GAUGAACGCUAGCGGCAGGCUUAACACAUGCAAGUCGAGGGGCAGCAUCCUGGCUAGCUAUCUCUCUGGUGGCGACCGGCGCACAGUUGCGUAACGCGUAUGCAACCUUCCUUUAACUGGGGGAUCACACUGAGAACUUUGUACUAAUACCCCAUAAUAUCCUCGAAGGCCUCUUUUCUGGUUUUAAAUUCCGCUGGUUAGAGAUGGGCAUGCGUCGUCUUCGCUAGUUGGUGGGGUAACGGCUCACCAAGGCGACGAUGCCUAAGGGUACGGAGGGGAUAACCCCCCACACUGGUACUGGGACCCUGACCAUAGUCCUACGGGAGGCAGCAGUGGGGAAGAUUGGUCAAUGGACUAUAGUCUAAACCAGCGAUGCCGCGUGCAGGAUGACGGCGCUAGGAGUUGUAGACUGCUGUUGUAAGAGGGUAAUCGCAGAUACGUAUAUCUGUCUGAAAGUAUCGGACGAAUAAGGACCGGCUAACUCCGUG
This 488-nucleotide ribosomal RNA is filed under the name uncultured bacterium. RNAcentral describes it as "partial 16S ribosomal RNA". It matches the Rfam family "Bacterial small subunit ribosomal RNA", at positions 28 to 507 of the family's 1533-position model. The record is from RNAcentral.